This is a long non-coding RNA of Cydia strobilella, 2485 nucleotides long. RefSeq lists it as uncharacterized. NCBI's taxonomy places the organism in Eukaryota, Metazoa, Arthropoda, Insecta, Lepidoptera, Tortricidae. The transcript has 2 exons. The record is from RefSeq and is a predicted model, not a curated record.
CCGUCCCCGUAGCGGUACUCGUCUGUACGCCCAUUGGACAAAUACCUAAAAUUCAAUUAUCCUCGGUGAUACUUGAUAUUAGAACCUACUCUCUGAGCUGAACGAAGCCUGUCGCAAGCUCGUUUUCCUCUGAUAUGGUAGUCGUUCCCUAUAAUUUGAAUUCUAUAUAUAUUGGUAUCGGAUGCAUACGAACCAAACUGUUCUUUAUUAUGUUCUUAUAAAGACAUAACCUUGAAUUAAACUUAUGUAAUCUGAAUAAACUACAGAAACUUAUUUACAUACAAACCCUUAAAUGGGACUACUUGCUAUGACAAUAUUAAAUCUAUAAAGGGACUGCGUUCUCCUAUACUUUGUACAUUGAAAGAACUUCUGUUCGUGAAAUAGGAAUUGUGUGAUAGCUGGGUAGUAGCUUUUUACAUAGUUCCACCAUUGUCAGUGAUAGGCAAUUUCUUUAAUAAAGGGAAAGUUUGUUAGUGUUGCCAUCUUUGACAUUUUCUUUUAGAUUUAGGUUUAGAUAAGCGCGCAUUAGGAUUAAGGAGAUACGUAUCAAAAGUAGUAGUAGUAUUUGUCUGGUUGAAGCUGCAGAUUCACCAAGUCAUAGGUUUAAGGUUUAUCGUAAGGUUAGUAUUUCUUUACAGAUUAUCAGUGUUUUCUUAGUUAAGGUGUUUAUUUCGUGAUAGGCUUAGUUUAUAAAAAAAAAAAAAAAAAAAUUUUUUUCAAAAAUUUUUUUUUAACCCAACUAAAGAUGAACUGUAACACUUUGCAGUCUGCUCCAAGUGUUUUAAUUGGAGUUAAACGCUCAGUCUGUAGAUAUUUGGUAGGAGAAAUUGUUACAUGUUUAUUUGACGAAAACUUAGUAAUUAAUAUCUAUUUACCUCGGUUAUAUGGUAAAUACUUCUUGGGCAAGACUCAUUCUAUUCAUUUUAAACCUUUUUCAUUUGCUUUUAGCUAUAUUUCGAACAUAAAACUUACCUUGACGGUGAGAUAAAUCAUACAACUCAACAUUUGUACUCCUGCGCAUAUUUCUCGUUCCGGCAAAGAAUUAUAGCCCGGACACUCCGUUUGUCCGACGGCACUUAUAUUUGGUAUUGAAAUGGUUCCUCUCCACUAUUAGUUUUGGUUAAAAACACAAAAUUUGGGAACAAAUAAACAAACUACAUUUGGAGUUCAUAUCGACUUGACAGCAAUGACAAGUGACAUGUACGUUUGUAUCUGUAUUUCAAGAUGGCGGUCGAUGAAGUGUGGUAGCCACACUCGUUGGUAAAAUAACAUAAUCAUUGCCUUUAUGAACUUUCUAUUUGGAAAUGUUGUCCAUAUUUUUGGCUUUCUAAAUAUAUAAUUAUUUCCAUGUUUGAAAUUGAUGAAGUUUCUGGUUUUGUUAGUACAUUCAUUUGGUAAGAGCGAGUGUGUGUCGCGGGCAUACGUCAUUCGAUGCAUUCACUCAGAAAUGUGUCAGUCGGAAUGAACUUGCAUUUGUCGAGUCAUUUGCUCAUUUGCUGUUCAAUUGGAGAAUUGGAGACAUCUUGACAUUAAAGGUCGGUGCGUUCUGCCAAAAUGGAGGUGAGUAGCUUUGUCUGAAGAAAUCUAAACUCAGUUCUUUUUCUUUUUGUGUGAUUAGUGCGUAUAGUGAUAAAAUGUAUUCUUGUUACAGCGUGAUGUGUAAAACAAGGUGUUUUAAUCGCCCAACCCCGUUGUAGCAAGCGGGGAUUCAUUUUGUGAUUUCGUCGUACAUGUGGUAUGUAUUCUUGUGAAAUCAUUAUCGAUGUGGACGAGGGAACAUUUAGUUUGUUUAACAAGUGUCUAACUACGUUGUCGUAAACGAUUUCAGCUGCCCGUCUCGAGAAUGCCGAUCGAAGCCGAGGGGGAGAAGCACGUGUUCCCGGCGCUUCUAUAGAAACCGGGGAAAUAAACCCGUAAGUACAACUAGACACGGUUUUUGGACUUUCUGGAAUUUUUGGAAUUUCUGGACUUUCUAGUCAUGGCGGGAGUUACACAUCCCGUCGCAAGCCUUGAGCAGGGUGGCUAGUUCCCGGCUCAUAUCCUGGAGGCACUACAAGAUCUCGGAUGAAUAGUGUUUCGAGUUACGUAUGAGUACCAUAUAUUAGUAGUUGGGUUUGAUGGGAUCGAUACUACUCCCUGUACGAAAACGUACUAGUGAUAGCUGUUAAUUUAUACACCUGGUGGAGACGUUGUAGCAGCGUACUCCCAGAUGCCUGGUGACCGAGCGAGGUGACCCCUUAUUAUUAUUAUGUCUGGCCAACUUUAUGAAGUAGAUUAAGGCGAAUGUAAAGAAGGCAAUGUAUAUAUCCACCUAGUUAAGGGUUUCCAACCUCGCUCAUGUCUACGCCUGUAGUAAAUUAAUUAUUAUUUUAUAUUAAUAGCACAGACAAUAGUACCUUAAGCCUCUCUUAAAUUUAAUAUUGUAAUCGGUAUAACAAUUUCGUGUAUUUGCUAAGAAGAAGAAUACAGUGUAUAUUUUAAGUAA